GUAUAGCUAUUCAAUUACUUUAAUUUUUCACUAAUGCCAUACAUGCUUAUCAUGUAAUCCUCAUCUUGGUCUUGAGUGAUACUGUUUUGCAGGAUUUCCACAUAUUAAAUGCUCUAACUAAAGGGUGCAAGAUCUCUCUCUCUCUCUCUCUCUUUCCUUCUCCAUAACUCUGACUUUCAAAUAAAUUAAAAAAUCUUUAAAAAAUCUAACUACAUAUAUGCAUUCUUUUCAUUUGCAUUAUUCAAUGCACACUUUGAAAUACUGUGAUUUAGUACAGGAACUUACACAUACUCACAAAGGAAUAUUGUAUCAAACCUCAUACUGAUCAAUGUUUUCCGUCACUUAAAUAGGAUCCUCUAAAUCUAACAAAUGCUUGUCUUGACUUUGCCAAAGCUUUUCAAGAUUGAAGUACAAAGAAAUUCUAUCCUGCAAAUGGGAAAAACAAUAAGUGUUAACUCAUCUAGCUCCAUGGUAGGAUUGUUUAAGAGAAAUAAUUUUCUCUUAAAUGACAACUGACUUUAAAAUCAAAACUAGUCUUUGACAGGUUUUCAUACAUAAAUUUAUUGUGAUUACUAAGUGCCACUUAUCAAAGAUGCUUCCAUGAUGAAAAUCAGAAGAAAUGGUGUCAGACAAGGAGCAAAGCCAAAUGGGCUCCCCAAGGGGAUAGACAAAACAAUUCUGAAUGUCUUCAAAUUAAAUUCAGUAAAAACACAUUAUUUUUUAAUAUGUGAUGUAUUCUUGCAGAAUUUUGUGAAAAAUUGUGAAAAAUGUUUAAUAAAUGAUCCUUUAUAAAUAAUUUUAGUCUCCCCAUUGUGAUUUCCUUAAUUUCUAUAGAUUUUAAUAUUCAUAUCUAAGAGUGCCCCAGACUCAUCUGCUCUGUGCUAAUUCAGAUCAAGAUCAUUAAUGAAUCAGUUUUUCAUUUGUAGAUUUAUUAUGGCAAGAAAAAAAAUCAAUCCUUGGGUGAUCAAAGAGAAUCUAAACAUCAUCAUACAGUAAACCAUUUUCUUAAUUUGAAGAAUAUGGCAAAUGAAUGUUUUUGUGUGUUUUACAAAGCAAAGAUAAAAGGGAAAAGGUAACACUAACUGCCAUGACUACUAAGUAAAGUAGUCAUAUAUUUUAAAAUUUAUGUUUAACAUAUGUGAAUCAAUCCAAUAGUUGUUUUAAAGUCACACCAACCAGAGUCCUUGAUGUUACCAUGAGCUAGGAAAUCAGAAUCUUCAUUGGAAUGGACACCACAGGUAUCAGAAGUCAAUGAUUAUAGGCCUGUGCCAUGGCUCAAUGGGCUAACCCUCCACCUGCGGUGCCUGCACACAGGGUUCUAGUCCCAGUGAGGGUGCUGGAUUCUGUCCCGGUUGCCCCUCUUCCAGGCCAGCUCUCUGCCAUGGCCCAGGAAAGCAGUGGAGGAUGGCCCAAGUGCUUGGGCCCUGCACCUGCCUAGGAGACCAGGAGAAGCACCUGGAUCCUGGCCAUUGUGGGGGUGAACCAAUGGAAAAAGGAAGACCUUUCUCUCUGUCUCUCUCUCACUGUCCACUCUGCCUGUCAAAAAAAAAGUCAAGGAUUGUAUUAACUUAAUACAUUUUGUGUCAUGCAUGGUUGCACAUGCAUUGGAUGCCUAAGACCUACUUACAACUAUAUCAUGUUAUUUUUUAACUGUUCCACACUUAACCAGAAUAAUUUGGAAACAUUACCAUCAUUCUUCCUUCCUCCAUAGAAAUAAACAGAAAAAUAAUUCAUAAACA
RNAcentral lists this long non-coding RNA (1739 nucleotides) under Oryctolagus cuniculus (rabbit). Its description in RNAcentral is "lncRNA (ENSOCUG00000032537.1)". The record is from RNAcentral. Lineage: Eukaryota; Metazoa; Chordata; Mammalia; Lagomorpha; Leporidae.